Long non-coding RNA from Felis catus (domestic cat), 2913 nucleotides. RefSeq lists it as uncharacterized. The transcript has 3 exons. Lineage: Eukaryota; Metazoa; Chordata; Mammalia; Carnivora; Felidae. The record is from RefSeq and is a predicted model, not a curated record.
UGACUAGACAGGAUUUGAAAUAAAUGAAAUUUUAAGAGGUAUUUCAACAACUUGUUAUUUUACAAUUUCUAAUUUUUAUUAAGUUUAAAAGAAGAGAUUGCUUCAAAGGAAAAUCAUUCAUUGAUUGACAUUUUCACCGUUGGAUUUUUUUCCAGAUUGUCCAUUUCUCCUAGAUGAUAUGAUAUAUUGUUAUAGAUAAAUUUGGAAUUGUAGUCAUGCAUAUGUGAUGCUUCACCACAUUUUUAAGCUUUAACAAAAAUAUCCAAUCAGAUGAUGACAUUCAAGUGUACUUUUGGAAGUACCAAGAUUAGCCUGCAAGUUUGACCUUGAAAAAUCUUUAUUCCCAGCACAUAUUCAAACUAUUGUAUAAGAUCCACUUUUAAAUAAUCAAAUGUAUAAAAAUAACAAAUAGUAAUUUAUUUUUCACUAUGAAUCACAUACUUUUCUGGGCAAUUAACAUAUAUAAUUAAAUUAAAUCUUGAUAAUUUCUAUAUAUACAAUACUCUUGGUUACUUUGAUUUUAGAGGAGAAACUGAGGCCCAGAGAAACAAUUUAACUUGCUCAACACAGUGGUAAUUAUUGCGAGCAAAAAUUUCAUAAAUUUGUAUAUUUGAAAGGACUCAUCAAAUUCUACAAUGCAUAUUCACAGCAAGGCUUUUAUUUAAAAGUACAGAAGGAGAAAGAGUGAUAGGCAAGCACUGAGAAUAUGAGAGUCAUCUAGGCAAAAUCUGCCUAGGUUCCUCAUGCACACAUGGACCUGCUUUGUCUCUGAAUUAAAGCACUGAGAUCUAUGUUCUGAAUUCCUGCUCCAGAAUAGCUCAGGGCAGAAGUUUUAGUGGCAUCUUUUUAUGCUCUUCUGAUCAGCUAGUCAUACCAGGCAGAUUAACUACUUAGGUCAGGUGAAAACUAUCAGUAAACAAACCAGCUCUGUGUGUCACUUGGAAAUUUUAGACUUUAAAUAGCACAUCAUAAAUUCCACUGUUCUUAUAUUAGUCAAUAGUCAAAGUCAGAUAUGUGGGCAUCCCCAGAGGUAAGGCUAGACAUUUCUAGGUCCAGCAGUAAAUGAGCUCUAUCUCACAUUGUGGGGGAGCUUCAAUUUUAACCCUGCUCUUCUGCAUCCAGAGACCAUGCACUUGAAACCAUGCUGUUGGUGGAACAAGAAAAAUUUACUAUUCAUUUGCCCUGACAUUACUAUUCAGGAUGAAAAUCCAGGUCUCAGAGUGUGAACUUCAACUUUAUGAAAAUGGAUGCCAAAGCACAUUGACAACUAAAGAUAAGAAGUUUUCAACUUAUAUAUCAUUUUUUAACAAUCAGUAAUGAAUGGCUGGCCGGGUUAGAAAUGAAAAAGCAUAAUAUAGUUCAUCUCUCACAUCUCCUUCAGAGUUAAAUAGAAGUUCGGUUAAAUUAUUAAGUAAAGGUUCCUUUAAGCACAGUGAAAAUAUAUUGAAGGUUAGACAGUAUCUGAGUGGAUGAUUUUCAUUCUAACUUUUUAGUAAAAUCCCACAUACCAUGCUAUACUACAGUAUAGGGUGGGAUUUUUAAAAUUCAUAAUCAGUCAUGUAUUUAAUUUGAGCAGUAUCUAUUUGUUUGAAAGACAGUAAGUACUUUGGAUAAGAGGGUAUCUUAAAAUCUCUCUCUUGGAAGGUACACUUAAGAAUAUCUCACCCAGUGUAGGAAUCCCCCAUAAAGCAAUCCGUGACAGUCUUCCAGACUCUGCAUGAGCCUGUUCAACAAUGGAGUAAUCAUGAACCCUUAUGGUAGCUAAUGUACUUUUAAAAAUUCUAAUCAUUAGGCUAUUCUUUAUUUCUUAUUAAAGGAGUUAUGGAAAUACUGAGCACAGAAAUAUAAUAAAGUCCAAACUACUUAGCAUGCUGUUCAAACAUUUUUACAAACUAAAUUCAAAUAGCUGCUCUAUCUGCUUCAUUGUUUACCCUUUAAAUGAGCCUCACAUACCUUCCCAGGCAUAACUACUGUAAAUAUGUCUCUAAGCCAACUUCUUUCUACUUGAAUAUGAGCAAGUUUUUAUCCUCACUGUACUUCAGUCUCUGUUAAAAAAAAAUUGGUAAUAACAAGGCCCACCCAAAAUUGUGUGGAAAGGAUUCAAUGAAUAUUCUCCAAGUGUCUAGGACACCACCUAGUAUGUAUAACUAAUUUAUGCUAGGUCUUAUUGUUGCUAUUGCUGUUUUCUCAUUAAUAUUAGAAUUUUCCAUAUUUUCUUAUUGCCUAUCUCUGAUUCUAAUCCAUUAUUUUGACUAUUUUCAGCCAUAUAUUUCCUUUGACUGGAGUCAUCUUUGGCUUUUUCCAUCUUGAUUUGAUAUUCUGCAUAUUCCAGCCUGUGACUCCUGGUUUUCACCCGUUAGCUUCACAUACAAAGAAACCACUUAUGAACUGCACAGGCUGGACUGCCCUUCAUUCAGCUAUGAAUUAACGGUCAAGAAAUCGGACUGAAAACAAAACUGUUAAAAGUGCUACAAACACACAGGGCUAUAUAAAUUGUGGCAGUUGAACAAAGAUUGAGUUAUGGAAGCAUUGCCCUGAUGGUGACUGAAGCCAACAAAGGAAGAAGGGAACUCUCAAUCAAGACACUCAAACUUAGGCUAUGAGUCCAUCUACAAUCCAAUAUCCAUCCAUCUAACAAGUCACUCUGAUCCAACCUGAUUGUUCUUCUUCAGAAGUCCCUGAAAAGCUCUUUGAUUUCCUUUUCUCUACCACCUGUGUUAGAGACAAGUGACUGUCUCAAUCUAUAGACUUCUUUUCUUCCUUUAUAAGUGAACCUUCUAUUUUUUAGUGAGAAAUCUGACAAUCCAGAAUUCAGACUACAUUUUCCAGCCUCUCUUUAAAAUGUCUGUGACUCAUAGAUCCAAAUUCUGGCCAAUGGUAUGGAGGUAACAUGAAGUAUCAGUUACCAAAUGA